Non-coding RNA from Wilcoxina mikolae CBS 423.85, 80 nucleotides. Lineage: Eukaryota; Fungi; Ascomycota; Pezizomycetes; Pezizales; Pyronemataceae. The record is from the annotation of a GenBank genome assembly.
GGUUUCAUGGUGUAGUUUGUUAUCACAUUUGUCUACUCUAACAGUUUCCACUGUCCCCAGAUCGAGCCUGUGUGAAAUCA